CGAAGGGGGCUAGCGUUGCUCGGAAUUACUGGGCGUAAAGGGAGCGUAGGCGGGUUAUCAAGUUGGAGGUGAAAGCCCAGGGCUCAACCUUGGAAUUGCCUUCAAAACUGAUAGCCUAGAGUAUGAUAGAGGUAAGUGGAACUCCGAGUGUAGAGGUGAAAUUCGUAGAUAUUCGGAAGAACACCAGUGGCGAAGGCGACUUACUGGAUCAUGACUGACGCUGAGGCUCGAAAGCGUGGGGAGCAAACAGGAUUAGAUACCCUGGUAGUCCACGCUGUAAACGAUGAUUGCUAGUUGUUGGCCGGCAUGCCGGUCGGUGACGCAGCUAACGCAUUAAGCAAUCCGCCUGGGGAGUACGGUCGCAAGAUUA
Molecule: ribosomal RNA, 370 nt
Filed under: uncultured organism
Description: bacterial SSU rRNA
Rfam family: Bacterial small subunit ribosomal RNA
Source: RNAcentral